UGGUUAGUCACUGGCACCUGGGAGGUGCUUCCUGAAUGUUCCUCCAACGUUUGAUGAAUGGUUGGUAAAGGCCAGUACUCCACUAGGAUCAUGGGCUGGCUCACAGGAGCUCUUCCCUCUAAACUGCGGUUUCCUUGGUAAAGUUAGAGAGAUACCAUAGAAGAUGGAGUGCCAUCCACACACUCAGAGGCAGCCUUCUCCUCUGCCUUGACGGUGAAAGUCGCUCAGUCGUGUCCGACCUGGGUCUCCUGCAUUGCAGGUGGAUUCUUUACCAGCUGAUCCACCAAGGAAGCCCCUCCUCUCCCUUAAGCUGCAGCAUUUGAGAGCUGACAUGGGCUUCCCUGGUAGCUCAGAUGGUAAAGCGUCUGCCUGCAAUACAGGAGACCUGGGUUUGAUCCCUGAGUCGGGAAGGAUCCCCUGGAGAAGGCAAUGGCAACCUACUCCAGGACUCUUGCCUGGAAAAUUCCAUGGAUGGAGGAGCCUGGGACAGCUCUCCUCGGCUGGCCAUCCUCCUGCUCAAACUGGACCAGUGACUUUUCUAGGCCCACUGUCCGGCCAGACGCUGGUCCGUUGUAUUAGUUCUUCACCAAACCAACAUCUUCCUUUGAUGGUCACUUGGUUGUUGAAGGAAUCGGGAGGCUUAUCCCACAGAUCUCUGCACACUCUGGAUUGCUGAUGCUUCACUGGGCAUCACUUAGAGACAUGGGUUUGAUCCCUGAUGGGGGAAGACCCCACAUGCUGUGGAGCAACUAAGCCUGUGAGCCACAACUACCAAGCCUGUGCUCUAGAGCCAGGAAGCCACACUACUGAGUCCACGUGCCUCAGCUGCUGAAGCCUGCGCGCUCUAGUGCCCGUGCUCCAAAAUAAGAGAAGCCGCUGCAAACACGCACCACAAUCAGAGUCGGCCCUGCUCACCACUAGGGGAAAGCCCAUACAGCAACGAAGACCCAGUGCAGCCA
Long non-coding RNA from Bos taurus (domestic cattle), 959 nucleotides. The record is from Ensembl. Lineage: Eukaryota; Metazoa; Chordata; Mammalia; Artiodactyla; Bovidae.